Molecule: long non-coding RNA, 1371 nt
Filed under: Homo sapiens (human)
Lineage: Eukaryota; Metazoa; Chordata; Mammalia; Primates; Hominidae
Description: HSALNT0363531
Source: RNAcentral
CUCUCCUUAGCCGCUUGUGCCGCCAUCAGAGGGGCCUGUCUCGCUCCCCCAGACACAGAGCCUCUGUUUUCCUCACUCCGGGUCUGGAGUCCCCUGCUUAACAGCUUGGAUUGAAGAGGCUUGUCUGGGGGGACUGAGACCUUGCAGAUCAUUCCAGGAGCCGCCUCCAUCCAAGGCCAACAGCUUCAUCAGGCCGCAGGCCUGGGAGAAGGUGGGACUGCAGUUGCCCAACAUCCUGUGGCUGCCCACACGGACACCCCAUGUGCACCCCAGGGCUGAGAGCAGGGGGAGCCAUCUCCCUGUGUGUGGGACACUGCCUGCUGGGUGUUCCGUUCCAGCCCCUCUAGAAUGCAUGCUUGAAUGGCCAGUGAGGCUGGGGGAGGGACCGAGAGGGAGCCCUCACCCCCAGCAGCACAGAGCAGGAGCUGGACGGUGGGGCUGGGGGUGAGGCCAGCUGAGAGGGGUCAGGUCCUGCCACGGGAGGGGGACUUUUAAAGUUCCUCCAUGGCCCUGGAACCCUGGAGCCUCAGGAGUGGCAGGGGAGCUUCUCCGGAGUGUAGUGCCCAGACUGGGAGAGAUGUGCCUCUGUGGGCAUCUUGAAGGGAAAUGAGAAGCGGAGCUGCCCCUGCACCUGCGCUGGGAGCUGCCUGCCUCCUGCUUGUCCUGGCCAUGUGCGAACCUCAGCGUGGAAGAGGGACUCUCGCACUGCUCCCUGCGCGGCUCAGCUGGCCUCCUGGGAAGCCACAAGAAACUAAUCCAUGGGGAUGGCCAGGCCUGAUUAGCUGGGGUGGGGCUGGAGGCUCCUCUACAGAGAUGAUGCUUACACUGAGACCUGAAGGAGAAGGAGGAGGUGGCUGCUCACGCAACCCACAGGAAAGUGUUCCAGGAUCAAGAACAGCAGGUGCAAAGGCCCCGUGAUGGAAAGGAUUGGUGCACUAGGAGAACAAAGGCAGCCUGGACACCAGGUUUGGUCUACCUCGUCCACACCCGCCUGCUUCUGUCCCGCCUUAAGCGGAUCCGUGAUGUCCCGUCAUUAGACCUUCAAUUUCAGCACAGGACUGAAUAACUAACCUUCAAAAAGUUUGCAGUAGCCUUGUCACUCCUAAAAAUAACAAAUAAUUCCUUAAACAUCAUUCAACAUCCAAUCAGUGUUUGCACACUUUUUUUACAGCUCUGCAUGUGUGUCACAAGCUAAACAAGGCCCGUGAGUGGAUGUGCUUCUUUUUGGGGUUGGGGAGAGACGGUGUCUCACUCUGUUGCCCAGGCUGGAUUGCAGUGGCAAGAUCUUGGCUCAUUGUGUCUCCCGGGUUCAAGCGAUUCUUCUGCCUCAGACUCUUGAGUAGCUGGGACUACAGGCAGUGCCACCACGCC